AUUCACGGCCUAUCAGCUUGUUGGUGAGGUAAUGGCUCACCAAGGCGACGACGGGUAGCCGGCCUGAGAGGGUGACCGGCCACACUGGGACUGAGACACGGCCCAGACUCCUACGGGAGGCAGCAGUGGGGAAUAUUGCACAAUGGGCGCAAGCCUGAUGCAGCAACGCCGCGUGGGGGACGAAGGCCUUCGGGUUGUAAACCCCUUUUAGCGGGGAAGAAGCGCAAGUGACGGUACCUGCAGAAAAAGCACCGGCUAACUACGUGCCAGCAGCCGCGGUAAUACGUAGGGUGCAAGCGUUGUCCGGAAUUAUUGGGCGUAAAGAGCUCGUAGGCGGUGUGUCGCGUCUGCUGUGAAAAUCCAAGGCUCAACCUUGGACCUGCAGUGGGUACGGGCACACUAGAGUGCGGUAGGGGAGAUUGGAAUUCCUGGUGUAGCGGUGGAAUGCGCAGAUAUCAGGAGGAACACCAAUGGCGAAGGCAGAUCUCUGGGCCGUAACUGACGCUGAGGAGCGAAAGCGUGGGGAGCGAACAGGAUUAGAUACCCUGGUAGUCCACGCCGUAAACGGUGGGAACUAGAUGUGGGGUCCGUUCCACGGAUUCCGUGUCGCAGCUAACGCAUUAAGUUCCCCGCCUGGGGAGUACGGAAUCGUCGACCCGCAAGGCCCCCAAC
RNAcentral lists this ribosomal RNA (672 nucleotides) under uncultured actinomycete. RNAcentral's name for it is "bacterial SSU rRNA". It matches the Rfam family "Bacterial small subunit ribosomal RNA", at positions 229 to 902 of the family's 1533-position model. Lineage: Bacteria; Bacillati; Actinomycetota; Actinomycetes; Actinomycetales. The record is from RNAcentral.